This 190-nucleotide ribosomal RNA is filed under the name uncultured Flavobacterium sp. Its description in RNAcentral is "partial 16S ribosomal RNA". It matches the Rfam family "Bacterial small subunit ribosomal RNA", at positions 337 to 524 of the family's 1533-position model. Lineage: Bacteria; Pseudomonadati; Bacteroidota; Flavobacteriia; Flavobacteriales; Flavobacteriaceae. The record is from RNAcentral.
UCCUACGGGAGGCAGCAGUGAGGAAUAUUGGUCAAUGGGCGCAAGCCUGAACCAGCCAUGCCGCGUGCAGGAUGACGGUCCUAUGGAUUGUAAACUGCUUUUGUACGGGAAGAAACACUCCUACGAGUAGGAGCCUGACGGUACCGUAAGAAUAAGGAUCGGCUAACUCCGUGCCAGCAGCCGCGGUAAU